CACAGCAGCGGCAGCGGAGCUAGAGCAGAGCGGAGCCACCACGGGGGCCCGGCUGAGCACGUUGGGCCACGUGGUCCUCUCCCCAGUCUGGUUCCUGUACAGCCUGCUCAUGAAGCUGUUCCAAAGCUCCACUCCAGCCAUCACCCUCGAGAACCUGGACAUGAAGUACCUGCUGCGGCUGAUUGACAAGGAGGCCAUCAGCCUUGACACCUGAUGGUUCCACUUUGCUCUACCAUCGCCCCAGCACAUCCUGGGCCUCCCCAUAGGGCUAGCACAUCUACCUCUUGGCUUGAAUCGAUGGGAACCUGGUCAUUCUGCCCUACAUGCCUGUCUCCAGCGAUGACAAGGGCUUUGUGGACCUGGUCAUCAAGGUUUACUUCAAAGACACCCACCCCAAGUUUCCCGCUGGUGGGGUGUCCCAGAUGUCCCAGUACCUGUAAAGCAUGAAGAUUGGAGGCACCAUUGAGUUCCGAGACCCAAAUGGGCUGCUGGUCUACCAGGGCAAAGGAAAGUUUGCCAUCUGUGCAGACAAGAAAUCCAACCCUGUCAUCAAGACGGUGAAGUCUGUGGGCAUGUUUGCGGGAGGAACGGGCAUCACCCCAAUGCUACAGGUGAUCCGCGCCAUCAUGAAGGACAGGGAUGAUCACACCGUGUGCCACCUGCGCUUUGCCAACCAGACUGAGAAGGACCUCCUGCUGCGGCCGGAGCUGGAGGAACUGAAGAACGAACAUUCUGAGUGCUUCAAGCUCUGGUACAUGGUGGACAGUGCCCCUGAAGCUUGGGACUACAGCCAGGGCUUCGUGAACGAGGAGAUGAUCUGGGACCACCUUCCACCCCUGGAGGAGGAGCCGCUGGUGCUGAUGUGCGGGCCCCCGUGCAUGAUCCAGUAUGCCUGCCUGCCCAACCUGGACAGCGUGGGCCACCCCAAGGAGCGCUCCUUCGCCUUCUGAUGGGCGGGCCCGGGCUGGCUCCGCCCCACACUCACCGUGCCCUGUCUGCACCCACCCCUCCUGCUGUUGUCUGUUAACACCACUCUCCCCCACAUCUCCUGCUGCGGCCGGGUUCAGCCUGGCCUGCCCGUGCCUGGGAGGUCACCCCCCUGGGCUGGUCCCCAAGGGGCCCCUUUGGGAGCAGGGCUCUGUUACAGGUGGGCCGCUGUCAGCCACCUUUAGGGCAGAUUCCUGUCUGGGCCUCACUGGAGAUGCCCUUCCCCACCCCCUCCUGGCAGGGGCUGCUGGGUGAGAGGCUGCCUCGACCCCAGGGUACAGCAGGCCCGGCCAGCAGGGAAUUGCGCUCUCCCUGGAGCUGGAGUAGGAGGAGGGGGCUGGCCGAGGGCCCUUCCAGCUGGCACAUGGGCCCUCCCAAAGCCUCAGUAUUUCCCCAAAACACCCAAACAUUCGGGUAGCUUUGGAAGCUCCAAGCAGUCGACCUCUGAUUGACCAGCUUGGGGUCCCGGGCUGCCAGCCCUAAUGGCAGAGCUAAGACGAUGUAUUUAUCCCUCUGUCCCAGACCCCCAUUCUGCUGCCCUCACCCCAGAUGGGGGAGAUUUUGAGCAGAGCCUCUUGUCUGAGGGAUAUUCUCAGUGGCCUCGACGUUGCCUUUAGACCACAGCGUGUCGGCCUCUUGCAUAUCGGCUUUUUAGAGUCGUUUAUGAGCAAAUUGAAGUAAAAUUUUGCUAAUUUGGAAAAAAAAAGAAAACUAAUUAUAUUUGUAAAUAUUUUAAAGAAAUUCAUUUGUUGUUGAUUUCUAACUUAAUUCUCUUGAGAAUUCCUUAGAGAAUGUGGACUCUAAUACCAAGAAUUCUUGGGAAUUUGCGAAAAGUGUUUCAAGGUCUAGUACACUUUUUUUUUUUUGGCCUUAAGUCUAUUUGGUCUGAUAUUAAUAUAACUACAUGAGGUUUAUUUUGGUAUUGGUUAGCAUUAUUUUCCUUUUAACUGUGUUGUGUACUCAUAUUGCAGGUGUAUAUUUCACAAACAGGAUAUAGCUGGAUUUUGUAUCUUAAACUAGCAGGUUUGCUUCGUUUACAUUUAUUGUGAUUCCUAACAUUUGGAUUUAUUUCUACAACCUUAUUUUGCGGUUUCUAUGACACAGUAGGAAAAGCUGUGCAGUUUUAAGUGUUAUUAUUAAAAGAUUCUUAGCACACCUUGUAUUUAUCCCGCUUUUUCAUGCUCCUCUCUCCUUUCCUGUUGGUUUGUUAAAAUUUUCUUUAAACCGUUUCCCAACCACUGGUUUGGAAGUUAUACAAGAAUAUAUAGUUUUUUUAGACUUUAGUCCAUCUUCUUCCCAAACAGUAAAAAGACCUUGGGAGGUAUGGAUGCCAACUGCCUAUCUAUUUUGCAGGAUGCUGUCCAGAAUUUUAGUUGUAACUUAUGUUACUACUCAGACAUUACUAACUCAUCACUACCACUGCUUUAUAUAGUCAAUGACAGUUUAGAUAUUCCCAAUGUUUUCCAAGCUUUUUCAGCAAUCUUCCUCAAGUCUCUUUCCUUCCUCCUGCAUUGAAUCCUUUUUUGUUGUUGUUGUUGUUGGCGGUGUUGGGUCUUCGUUGCUGUGCACGGGUUUUCUCUAGUUGUGGA
This is an RNA transcript of Aethalodelphis obliquidens (Pacific white-sided dolphin), 2576 nucleotides long. It is a transcript of the gene named NADH-cytochrome b5 reductase 3 pseudogene, with no coding region annotated. The record is from RefSeq and is a predicted model, not a curated record. The transcript has a single exon. Lineage: Eukaryota; Metazoa; Chordata; Mammalia; Artiodactyla; Delphinidae.